RNAcentral lists this ribosomal RNA (344 nucleotides) under Stenotrophomonas bentonitica. RNAcentral describes it as "bacterial SSU rRNA". It matches the Rfam family "Bacterial small subunit ribosomal RNA", at positions 76 to 419 of the family's 1533-position model. The record is from RNAcentral. Lineage: Bacteria; Pseudomonadati; Pseudomonadota; Gammaproteobacteria; Lysobacterales; Lysobacteraceae.
GAGCUUGCUCUCUGGGUGGCGAGUGGCGGACGGGAGAGGAAUACAUCGGAAUCUACCUUUUCGUGGGGGAUAACGUAGGGAAACUUACGCUAAUACCGCAUACCACCUUCGGGUGAAAGCAGGGGACCUUCGGGCCUUGCGCGGAUAGAUGAGCCGAUGUCGGAUUAGCUAGUUGGCGGGGUAAAGGCCCACCGGGGGGACGAUCCGUAGCUGGUCUGAUAGGAUGAUCAGCCACACUGGAACUGAUACACUUUCCACACUCCUACGGGACGCACCCGUGGGGAACUUUGGACCCUGGCCGUAACCCUGUUUGCAACUAUACCACAUGGGUGCACUAGGCCUGC